Molecule: ribosomal RNA, 467 nt
Filed under: uncultured bacterium
Lineage: Bacteria
Description: partial 16S ribosomal RNA
Rfam family: Bacterial small subunit ribosomal RNA
Source: RNAcentral
GACGAACGCUGGCGGCGUGCUUAACACAUGCAAGUCGAACGGAAAGGCCCUGCUUUUGUGGGGUGCUCGAGUGGCGAACGGGUGAGUAACACGUGAGUAACCUGCCCUUGACUUUGGGAUAACUUCAGGAAACUGGGGCUAAUACCGGAUAGGAGCUCCUGCUGCAUGGUGGGGGUUGGAAAGUUUCGGCGGUUGGGGAUGGACUCGCGGCUUAUCAGCUUGUUGGUGGGGUAGUGGCUUACCAAGGCUUUGACGGGUAGCCGGCCUGAGAGGGUGACCGGCCACAUUGGGACUGAGAUACGGCCCAGACUCCUACGGGAGGCAGCAGUGGGGAAUAUUGCACAAUGGGCGGAAGCCUGAUGCAGCAACGCCGCGUGCGGGAUGACGGCCUUCGGGCUGUAACCGCUUUCGCCUGUGACGAAGCGUGAGUGACGGUAAUGGGUAAAGAAGCACCGGCUAACUACGUG